UAAAGUCACAUAUGUUUGGAAUGACAUGAGGGUUAGUAAAAGAUGACAAUUUAAAUUUUGAGGUGAACUAUCUCUUUUAAGUUGAGAAUAUUAAAUUUGUUGUUGUUUUUUUUAAUGUAGAUAAACCAUUAACCUGUUAUUCUCAUAUAAAAAAUGAAUUGGUACAUCAUCAAACGGGUUCAGCUGUCUGCUUCAUUCAGAUCAUUCAGACACUUCUAAUGACAGUAAACAACACAAACCCCCCAAAACACUCAUUUAAAAUAAUAAUUAAAAAUCUUCAAAAUAAUUAAAUAUUUUACAAUAAUUGCAAAAAUUAAUUACAAUUUACAUACAAAAUUUAACACAAUCCCACACUUCCUUUUAGACUGUGUAAUGUCAUAGAGCUCUUCAUUCCAAUUGAAGCCUCACUACAUUUACUUUUUAGCGUUUUAGUCAGCUGUAUAAUCCUUACAGUUAAUUUGCUUCUAAAUUCUAAUGUUAAUUUGAAUUAUAACUUAGUAAAAUGUUAAGUUGUGGUGAUUUCUUAGAACCUUGGGAACAUAAUUGACUAUGACUGUCUCCUAGGUUCCAAACAAAAAGUCUUAAGAUUUUGUCCUAAUGAUAGAAAGAAACAGAGAACAUAAAUGAUUAGAUGGCUGUAGAAAAUCAUAGAACUGAUCAUUUAGCUUUGCAGUAAACCUUGUUGAUUAUAGACAGUCUCAACCAGAGGCUUAUUGUGUUAAAUUUCUUAGUUUAAAUUAUGAUGGGUUUCCAAAAGAUAUGACUGCAUAAGGUUGUUUUACUUUUCUUUUUUUUUUUUUUUUCACUUCAUAGGACUGUUAGAAUUUCCUCUUUAACACUGAUAUUGUUAAUACUGGUAUACAUGUGGUCACUUUAUAAAGAUAACAACAAACAAGAAUUUUCUAUACAAACAUAGAUUUCUGGUUAUGAACAUAUAGAAUUUACAUUUAGAAAGGUAUUUAAAAAAUGGAUGGUCUAUUCAAAUUUCACAGUACAAUUAAAGAAACAUUGGUUUUUAUUUUAUGUUUUGCCUGUAUGGCUGUUGGCAUGUCUCAUUUUAAAGGCUGCACCCUCUAAAAGCCGCAUUUAUCAGCCACAUACAUCAUUCAGGCUGCCUCAUUUCAGAAAAGUAUCCAUUACAUUCCAAAUUAAAAGAGACAUUACAAUAAUUCAUGCCUCACGGGGAAUAAGAGUUAAUUUUAUAAUUACUUUUCUGAACUGAGACAUCCUUGAUGACGUAGGUGGCUGACAAAUGCGACCUCAUGAGGGCGCAGCCUUUAAAAUGAGACAGCUUUCAUCGUGAGUACAGAUGUGACGCACAUAGUUUGACCAAAAUCUGUUCUCUGCAAAAAGGUUUGGGCACUGGCUAACAUUAAAAUCCAUUUGCAUUAACACAUUUAACUGAAACGGUUGUGAUAAUUCAUUUCAAUAACAUUUUACUACUUUUUCAGUUACACGUUGUCAGAAUAACAUGUAAGUGAUGAUAAUAAUAAGCAGCUGUCUCAGUCUCUAAUGUUUCAUCCUGUAUCUUUACCACAGUUCAGACUGACUUGCUUGUCUUCAGAUGCUUUGGAAUGGGCCCGGUAACUUGGUAACCGUAGGUCUCCAUGGUAACAUUCAAGCCUGUCCUCUGGCCUCGUUUACAUAAUCUCUUUGUGUAGUUCAGGCACUGUUCCCUUCCCACUUUUCCAAGUAAUGAAAAGAGCAUAUUAAGUCUGACAGUCCAAAACAUUAGCUCAUUGUUCCUGGUUGUAGCUUAGUUCUCUGCACAAGCUACCACAUGAUGACUAUAAGCUAUUUUAGGCCUCACAAUAGGCUUUCUACCCUAUGAUCUUACUAGGAAUGAAUGAAUGUUAAUUGGAAUUUCAAGGUAAAUGCACUGAAUGCAGUCAGACUUUGCUCUGCAUAGAGUUAAUUCAGAGCGUAUACUUUUACUGUUAUGUAUGACAGUCAUUCCCAGUGGGCAAUUGAUGUUGAAAAGACAUCAAAUUGACAUUAAAAAAAAAAAAACGGUCGAAUAUGCAAAUCAAUCCGAUAUCAAAACUUGACAUGACACUGGUUUGAUGUAAAUUGAACAUUAAACAUAUUGGCCUACAUAUACAUUAAAUCAAUUUCAGUGUGGGAUUAACUUCCUAUUUUUACCCAAUUACCACUGGAAGAAAUAUACUGUCCAAACUGAAUUUAAAAUGAUGUUCCAGCAUCUUGAUCAAGUCUUGAGGAAUGUUUGACGUCAAACUGAUAUCAAGGAUAUCAUAGUUAUAGAGACUGAUGACUGUGUUCAAUCUCAAAAAAUCUGUUUACAGCCGUCAGCUAUUGAUGUUAUAGUUGACCUAUAUGCUAUCUGUUAUCACCUGAUUUUAACACCAACAGCCACUAUAGUGAGAAUAUAAUAUAUGCUAUUUUUUUUAACCAACGUUCUGUUUUGAAUCUGUUUCAGGUGGACAGAUCUGAGUAUCUGCUGAGUAAUGAAUGCACAGUUGUCUUCAGAUGAAACUAAGAUGAACAUCAGUGUUGCACUGUGGGCAUCUAUUCAUCAGUAAAUUAAACAUGAAAAUAGUGCAGUAUCUCCUCUUGGCAAACAUUUCUGUAAGUACCAGCUCAUUUUUAAGCUAAGCAGUAAUUUUUUCUUAAUAUUUUAGAAUUAAGUAGGUUUAUAUUAAUACUAAUGGAUGCUUAUGGUUUCUCGUAAUACAAUGUGUAUUUUUGUAUUUGACGAAUGUCUUGGAAUAAUGCAUUAGAAAUGUAAAUAUAAUGCUUACCAUUGUUGUGUGCUACAUGCAGUGUUCUUAAUAAAGAUAUCUGUUACACCA
Long non-coding RNA from Cyprinus carpio (common carp), 2810 nucleotides. RefSeq lists it as uncharacterized. The record is from RefSeq and is a predicted model, not a curated record. Lineage: Eukaryota; Metazoa; Chordata; Actinopteri; Cypriniformes; Cyprinidae.